AGACACACGGCGGGUGCUAACGUCCGUCGUGAAGAGGGAAACAACCCAGACCGCCAGCUAAGGUCCCAAAGUCAUGGUUAAGUGGGAAACGAUGUGGGAAGGCCCAGACAGCCAGGAUGUUGGCUUAGAAGCAGCCAUCAUUUAAAGAAAGCGUAAUAGCUCACUGGUCGAGUCGGCCUGCGCGGAAGAUGUAACGGGGCUAAACCAUGCACCGAAGCUGCGGCAGCGACGCUGAUGCGUUGUUGGGUAGGGGAGCGUUCUGUAAGCCUGCGAAGGUGGCCUGUGAGGGUUGCUGGAGGUAUCAGAAGUGCGAAUGCUGACAUAAGUAACGAUAAAGCGGGUGAAAAGCCCGCUCGCCGGAAGACCAAGGGUUCCUGUCCAACGUUAAUCGGGGCAGGGUGAGUCGACCCCUAAGGCGAGGCCGAAAGGCGUAGUCGAUGGGAAACGGGUUAAUAUUCCCGUACUUGGUGUUACUGCGAAGGGGGGACGGAGAAGGCUAUGUUGGCCGGGCGACGGUU
This 518-nucleotide ribosomal RNA is filed under the name Salmonella enterica subsp. enterica serovar Montevideo. RNAcentral's name for it is "partial 23S ribosomal RNA". It matches the Rfam family "Bacterial large subunit ribosomal RNA", at positions 982 to 1503 of the family's 2925-position model. Lineage: Bacteria; Pseudomonadati; Pseudomonadota; Gammaproteobacteria; Enterobacterales; Enterobacteriaceae. The record is from RNAcentral.